This 506-nucleotide ribosomal RNA is filed under the name uncultured bacterium. RNAcentral describes it as "partial 16S ribosomal RNA". It matches the Rfam family "Bacterial small subunit ribosomal RNA", at positions 29 to 523 of the family's 1533-position model. The record is from RNAcentral.
AGUGAACGCUGGCGGUAGGCCUAACACAUGCAAGUCGAACGGCAGCACAGGAGAGCUUGCUCUCUGGGUGGCGAGUGGCGGACGGGUGAGGAAUACAUCGGAAUCUACUCUGUCGUGGGGGAUAACGUAGGGAAACUUACGCUAAUACCGCAUACGACCUACGGGUGAAAGCAGGGGACCUUCGGGCCUUGCGCGAUUGAAUGAGCCGAUGUCGGAUUAGCUAGUUGGCGGGGUAAAGGCCCACCAAGGCGACGAUCCGUAGCUGGUCUGAGAGGGUGAUCAGCCACAAUGGAACUGAGACACGGUCCAGACUCCUCCGGGAGGCAGCAGUGGGGAAUAUUGGACAAUGGGCGCAAGCCUGAUCCAGCCAUACCGCGUGGGUGAAGAAGGCCUUCGGGUUGUAAAGCCCUUUUGUUGGGAAAGAAAUCCAGCUGGCUAAUACCCGGUUGGGAUGACGGUACCCAAAGAAUAAGCACCGGCUAACUUCGUGCCAGCCGCCGCCGUAA